GAACUGAAGAGUUUGAUCAUGGCUCAGAUUGAACGCUGGCGGCAGGCCUAACACAUGCAAGUCGAGCGGUAGAGAGGAGCUUGCUUCUCUUGAGUAGUGGCGGACGGGUGAGUAAUGCCUAGGAAUCUGCCUAGUGGUGGGGGAUAACGUUCGGAAACGGACGCUAAUACCGCAUACGUCCUACGGGAGAAAGCGGGGGAUCUUCGGACCUCGCGCCAUUAGAUGAGCCUAGGUCGGAUUAGCUAGUUGGUGAGGUAAUGGCUCACCAAGGCGACGAUCCGUAGCUGGUCUGAGAGGAUGAUCAGUCACACUGGAACUGAGACACGGCCCAGACUCCUACGGGAGGCAGCAGUGGGGAAUAUUGGACAAUGGGCGAAAGCCUGAUCCAGCCAUGCCGCGUGUGUGAAGAAGGUCUUCGGAUUGUAAAGCACUUUAAGUUGGGAGGAAGGGUUGUAGAUUAAUACUCUGCAAUUUUGACGUUACCGACAGAAUAAGCACCGGCUAACUUCGUGCCAGCAGCCGCGGUAAUACGAAGGGUGCAAGCGUUAAUCGGAAUUACUGGGCGUAAAGCGCGCGUAGGUGGUUCGUUAAGUUGGAUGUGAAAGCCCCGGGCUCAACCUGGGAACUGCAUCCAAAACUGGCGAGCUAGAGUACGGUAGAGGGUAGUGGAAUUUCCCAGUGUAGCGGUGAAAUGCGUAGAUAUAGGAAGGAACACCAGUGGCGAAGGCGACUACCUGGACUGAUACUGACGCUGAGGUGCGAAAGCGUGGGGAGCAAACAGGAUUAGAUACCCU
This 794-nucleotide ribosomal RNA is filed under the name Synechocystis salina LEGE 06099. RNAcentral's name for it is "bacterial SSU rRNA". It matches the Rfam family "Bacterial small subunit ribosomal RNA", at positions 1 to 788 of the family's 1533-position model. Lineage: Bacteria; Bacillati; Cyanobacteriota; Cyanophyceae; Synechococcales; Merismopediaceae. The record is from RNAcentral.